AUGCAAGUCGAACGCUUGUCGGGCUUCGGUCCGGCGGGAGUGGCGCACGGGUGAGUAGCGCGUGGGAACCUGCCCUGUUGUGGGGGAUAACCGAGGGAAACUUCGGCUAAUACCGCAUGCGCCCGCGGAGUUGAUCUGCGGGGAAAGAUUUAUCGCAGCAGGAGGGGCCCGCGUCGGAUUAGCUGGUUGGCGGGGUAACGGCCCACCAAGGCGAUGAUCCGUAGCUGGUCUGAGAGGAUGAUCAGCCACACUGGGACUGAGACACGGCCCAGACUCCUACGGGAGGCAGCAGUGGGGAAUAUUGGACAAUGGGGGCAACCCUGAUCCAGCAAUGCCGCGUGAGUGAUGAAGGCCUUCGGGUUGUAAAGCUCUUUCGCCCGCGACGAUGAUGACGGUAGCGGGAGAAGAAGCCCCGGCUAACNUUCGUG
Molecule: ribosomal RNA, 428 nt
Filed under: uncultured bacterium
Lineage: Bacteria
Description: bacterial SSU rRNA
Rfam family: Bacterial small subunit ribosomal RNA
Source: RNAcentral